Molecule: ribosomal RNA, 253 nt
Filed under: uncultured bacterium
Lineage: Bacteria
Description: partial 16S ribosomal RNA
Rfam family: Bacterial small subunit ribosomal RNA
Source: RNAcentral
GACGUAGGGCGCGAGCGUUGUCCGGAUUUAUUGGGCGUAAAGAGCUCGUAGGCGGCUUGUCGCGUCGACCGUGAAAACUUGGGGCUCAACCCCAAGCCUGCGGUCGAUACGGGCAGGCUAGAGUUCGGUAGGGGAGACUGGAAUUCCUGGUGUAGCGGUGAAAUGCGCAGAUAUCAGGAGGAACACCGGUGGCGAAGGCGGGUCUCUGGGCAGUAACUGACGCUGAGGAGCGAAAGCGUGGGGAGCGAACAGG